AUACUGAGGGUGCAAGCGUUAAUCGGAAUUACUGGGCGUAAAGCGCGCGUAGGCGGUUUAUCAAGUCAGAUGUGAAAGCCCUGGGCUUAACCUGGGAACUGCAUUUGAAACUGAUAAACUAGAGUUUGGUAGAGGGUGACGGAAUUCCAGGUGUAGCGGUGAAAUGCGUAGAUAUCUGGAGGAACAUCAGUGGCGAAGGCGGUUGCCUGGACGGAUACUGACGCUGAGACGCGAAAGCGUGGGGAGCAAACAGGAUUAGAAACCCGAGUAGUCC
RNAcentral lists this ribosomal RNA (274 nucleotides) under uncultured bacterium. RNAcentral describes it as "partial 16S ribosomal RNA". It matches the Rfam family "Bacterial small subunit ribosomal RNA", at positions 523 to 796 of the family's 1533-position model. The record is from RNAcentral.